RNAcentral lists this ribosomal RNA (248 nucleotides) under uncultured bacterium. Its description in RNAcentral is "partial 16S ribosomal RNA". It matches the Rfam family "Bacterial small subunit ribosomal RNA", at positions 524 to 772 of the family's 1533-position model. The record is from RNAcentral.
UACGUAGGGUGCGAGCGUAAUCGGAAUUACUGGGCGUAAAGCGUGCGCAGGCGGUUUUGUAAGCCAGAUGUGAAAUCCCCGGGCUUAACCUGGGAAUGGCAUUUGGGACUGCAAGGCUUGAGUGCGGCAGAGGAGACUGGAAUUCCUGGUGUAGCAGUGAAAUGCGUAGAUAUCAGGAGGAACACCGAUGGCGAAGGCAGGUCUCUGGGCUGACACUGACGCUCAUGCACGAAAGCGUGGGGAGCGAA